RNAcentral lists this ribosomal RNA (430 nucleotides) under uncultured bacterium. RNAcentral describes it as "bacterial SSU rRNA". It matches the Rfam family "Archaeal small subunit ribosomal RNA", at positions 723 to 1153 of the family's 1478-position model. The record is from RNAcentral.
ACUAAAUAGAUACCCUGGUAGUCCAGCCGUAAACGAUGCUCGCUAGGUGUCAGGCAUGGCGCGACCGUGUCUGGUGCCGCAGGGAAGCCGUGAAGCGAGCCACCUGGGAAGUACGGCCGCAAGGCUGAAACUUAAAGGAAUUGGCGGGGGAGCACAACAACGGGUGGAGCCUGCGGUUUAAUUGGACUCAACGCCGGACAACUCAUCGGGGGGCGACAGCAAUAUGUAGGCCAAGCUGAAGACUUUGCCUGAAUCGCUGAGAGGAGGUGCAUGGCCGUCGCCAGUUCGUACUGUGAAGCAUCCUGUUAAGUCAGGCAACGAGCGAGACCCGUGCCCACUGUUACCAGCAUGUCCUCCGGGACGAUGGGUACUCUGUGGGGACCGCCUAUGUUAAAUAGGAGGAAGGUGCGGGCCACGGUAGGUCAGUAUG